AACAUUGGUUAUGCAGGGGUAGUCAUAGGAGUAUAACAAUUAAUUUAUUACAAAUUAAUUUACACAGUUUCUCACAUUUUGGCCACACCAUGCUUCCUUAAAAAGUCUAGUGCACAAGAGAGUUCCUGGCAAAACUGCUUUGUUGCCAAGAUAUUGGUGAGGACACACCCACUGUAAAUGGUAUCCAUAGCAGAACUAAAUCUUAAAUUUUUUUCUCAAACGAUUUUCCCUUAGAAUUAAGUUUAAUUGGCUACUUUUUCUUUCUUCAAACUCGAUUGGUCCACGAGUCACGCCUUCAAAGGUGAUAGGCGCAUGACGCCACACACCCAUCCCACUCUGCAGAGCUCUACAUGGCACCAGAAACAUCAACAUUCGGCUUAGAAAAAAACAGCAGAAUUACAAAUUCAUUUACAAGAUUAUCUCCAUUAUUAUUAGUUUUUGGAGAUAUCACAUAGAGAAGAAAUGUUUUAGAUUGAUGUGUUUUAUUGACAUCCAGUGUCAAAAAUGAGGUUGGUGGUUCCACACGUGUUCAGCCACCAAGGCGUCAAUUAGCAGGCCCUUAUGUCGCUGUCUUUCCACUGAGACCCGCAACACUUCCCAAGGCGCCUCCGCACGAGCUGCAAGCAACCGCUGACCAUCAAGUUACGGCGAUCUGCAACUUGAGACAUACACACAGGCUGAAAGAGCGUACCUGAACUAAUA
This is a long non-coding RNA of Penaeus chinensis, 702 nucleotides long. RefSeq lists it as uncharacterized. Lineage: Eukaryota; Metazoa; Arthropoda; Malacostraca; Decapoda; Penaeidae. The transcript is spliced from 2 exons. The record is from RefSeq and is a predicted model, not a curated record.